This 500-nucleotide ribosomal RNA is filed under the name uncultured bacterium. RNAcentral describes it as "partial 16S ribosomal RNA". It matches the Rfam family "Bacterial small subunit ribosomal RNA", at positions 30 to 523 of the family's 1533-position model. The record is from RNAcentral.
AUUGAACGCUGGCGGCAGGCCUAACACAUGCAAGUCGAGCGGAUGACGGGAGCUUGCUCCUUGAUUCAGCGGCGGACGGGUGAGUAAUGCCUAGGAAUCUGCCUGGUAGUGGGGGACAACGUUUCGAAAGGAACGCUAAUACCGCAUACGUCCUACGGGAGAAAGCAGGGGACCUUCGGGCCUUGCGCUAUCAGAUGAGCCUAGGUCGGAUUAGCUAGCAGGUGAGGUAAUGGCUCACCUAGGCGACGAUCCGUAACUGGUCUGAGAGGAUGAUCAGUCACACUGGAACUGAGACACGGUCCGGGAUCCUACGGGAGGCAGCAGUGGGGAAUAUUGGACAAUGGGCGAAAGCCUGGUCCAGCCAUGCCGCGUGUGUGAAGAAGGUCUUCGGAUUGUAAAGCACUUUAAGUUGGGAGGAAGGGUUGUACGUUAAUACCGUGCAAUUUUGACGUUACCGACAGAAUAAGCACCGGCUAACUCUGUGCCAGCCGCCGCAGUAA